UACGUAGGGGGCUAGCGUUGUCCGGAAUCAUUGGGCGUAAAGCGCGUGUAGGCGGUCCGGUAAGUCCGCUGUGAAAGUCGGGGGCUCAACCCUCGGAUGCCGGUGGAUACUGUCGGGCUCGAGUACGGGAGAGGCGAGUGGAAUUCCUGGUGUAGCGGUGAAAUGCGCAGAUAUCAGGAGGAACACCAAUUGCGAAGGCAGCUCGCUGGAACGUUACUGACGCUGAGACGCGAAAGCGUGGGGAGCAAACAGG
This 253-nucleotide ribosomal RNA is filed under the name uncultured bacterium. RNAcentral describes it as "partial 16S ribosomal RNA". It matches the Rfam family "Bacterial small subunit ribosomal RNA", at positions 524 to 776 of the family's 1533-position model. The record is from RNAcentral.